Long non-coding RNA from Setaria italica (foxtail millet), 652 nucleotides. RefSeq lists it as uncharacterized. The record is from RefSeq and is a predicted model, not a curated record. The transcript is spliced from 2 exons. NCBI's taxonomy places the organism in Eukaryota, Viridiplantae, Streptophyta, Magnoliopsida, Poales, Poaceae.
ACAUCCACGUAGUCUAAACCCGCCAGCGGCGGCCUCCUCUUCGAUUCCCAUGCCACCUCCUCCUCCUUCACUCGCGAGACAUUGGAGCGGGAGCUCACCAGCUACUGUCGUUGCCUCACCUUCCGCCAUCACCUCCGUUUGCCGUGGUGGGGGUGUCGGAGGUUCAGCCAGCGCGGUGAUGCCAACGUAAGCGACCGGCCAGUGGUAUGGCUUCUGCUACUGGAGGAAGUGGCGAUGGUGGGGGCGAUCAUCGUUCCUCUUCCGGCAAGGGGAAAACCAUAGUUGUCCCUUGGGAUAAGCCGAAGAAAAUGAGCAUGUUGGAGAAAGCAAUGCUUCGUUAUUUGCAGAAACGUCAUAAGCAAUCCUCAAGGAGCGAAAGGCACGACCUUGUAUGUCAAGCUUGAUUCGUUAGAAGACAUCUACAAGAUGCAUGGCCACCACUAGUGUUACUGAGACGAGUACGUGGACCUCAGAUGAAUCAAGAAGCUCAGUAUUUCAAAGUUCUACGACGGUAUCGAGUGGAUCAGGGAUUAUUUUGAUAUUUUUCUGAAUUUGUAAUAUGAUACUGUGUGGACUAUUUUGAUUUUUUCGAACAAUUGGUUAUUGUGUUCUGUUAAUUUGGAUUUUUUUUGAAUUUGUUAAAUAUCGUUAA